Non-coding RNA from Paramormyrops kingsleyae, 665 nucleotides. Lineage: Eukaryota; Metazoa; Chordata; Actinopteri; Osteoglossiformes; Mormyridae. The record is from RefSeq and is a predicted model, not a curated record.
UUUAUUUUUACUAGUUUGGAGAGUGAAAUGAAGUUUCAGUGAAUUGGGUGCUUAUGAGUGGGGUUUGUCGGAAUUGCCCCGUGCUAUGAGGCUGACGGAGCUGAGCGCGGAGCUGAGCGCGGAGCUGAGCGGGUCGGUUACCUGAUGGAGUGUGAGCGUAUGCUGGGUCUGCCUGUGGUGCGGUACUGUGGUCAUCCCGGGUCGAGCGUAUCGUCUGCGCAUUACUACAAAUAUGAGAUGAAAGAAAAACGUACAUGAAAUGGACUUAAUUAAGAAAAAGAAGACAAUCCUAAAACUUGACAGGCUGUAUAUUUCUCCUUAGAGAAGAAAAACCAGCCGCAGAUAUUUUUAUUACGGUGAGCGUACCAGUUUUCCUCCUUUGGUAAAGAAACACAAGUACCCCAAGUAUCAUCUACGGCCUUACCCCAUUGGAAAAAGAAAAGAAAACUACACGGGACUUUCAUAGAACGGUGCGGACCGGUCAAGAGAAAAUCUACGAAAGACCUGAAUCAGCAGAUGCAGUAUUUAAGUGCUCCCCAAUCCUGAGUUGCCCAGAUCAUUGUUGCUUAUUUGGGUCGUCCUUCCCUAUCCCUGGCGUGACAUUUAACUUGUUCAUUAUAAUAAUUAUGAUCAACUACCCUCCAACCUGCCUGCCCUUGGCUCAA